RNAcentral lists this long non-coding RNA (414 nucleotides) under Elaeis guineensis (African oil palm). RNAcentral's name for it is "long non-coding RNA (EGUI_LNC070280)". Lineage: Eukaryota; Viridiplantae; Streptophyta; Magnoliopsida; Arecales; Arecaceae. The record is from RNAcentral.
AAGCCAACUCUUUCAGACUACAAGCCAACUCCAGCAUACUUUGAGUUGACCCUAAUUUCAGUCGAGUUGACUCUCUUAAGGUAAGACAGAGAUGUACCAAAAUCAAUCUAUUUUCGAGUCGACCCCAAGUCAAUUUCAAGAUGACCCAAAGUUGCUACAAGUCAACUCCAUUAUGCCUAACAACUAUAAUGGCUAGUCUGCAGAGGCUGUAGAAAUAUGCAGAAUAACUUCAAUAGCUAGUUUUAGUCUCCCAAUAGCCAAAAACUCCUUUCCAAACCUUCCAAGAGCUCUAAAUGCAUGCCGAACACAUUAAAGAAGUAAGAGGAGGAGGAAAACAAAGAGAAAAUCUAUGAAAUGCUUAGAGUUCACUUAAGAGAAAGCAUGUACUUUCCAACCACCACACUCUUGAAUUUU